Non-coding RNA from Electrophorus electricus (electric eel), 1737 nucleotides. The record is from RefSeq and is a predicted model, not a curated record. Lineage: Eukaryota; Metazoa; Chordata; Actinopteri; Gymnotiformes; Gymnotidae.
UGAGCGUGUAAGGCGAAGAAAACAAGAAAAGAUACCUAUUUACACAGUGCUGUAAGGGAAAAACGUCGAUACCGACAUGGUCAGUAGUGAGCCGUGUCAGUUUGGUUCAUAAUUACGUAACUGGUUCCUCAUACAGGCAGGUCGGAUGAGCACGGGCCCUGGCUUUGUGUAUGGGAUAUAUGACAUUUCAUCAUUGCCGUAGUGCUAAUACUCGGAGCAGAAAACACUUUACCCAUCGUGUUUUGGACUCGCACACACCUUUGAAUGCACAUCUCCUCGCUUACACAUCAUGGUCAAACCCCUGGGAAACACCUGCUCUUUCUUCACAGCGGGGCCGCACAGCGGUGCGGUCGCCUUCAGGCUGCUUUCGAAGACAUGCGGGCAGAAGGAAACUGAGAGUCCGGCCAGAAGCUGAGCGAGUGAGAGUUUGAGCCGGAAUGGGAUUGUGAGAAGGGCUUAUAUAGUGUGGCUAUUUUUAACCCACUCCUCUCGCCUAUCACAGGCCUUCCUCUCUAGAGUGCUCAGGAAGCAAGCCUGGCUCUGUUUCCUGCUCAAACGCGGGUCCAUUCAAAGCCAAUCAGGACAUGCACUGACUCAAAUGAGAAAAAGAAUGAAAAGUGUUGCACAUAUUUGUGCGUGUACCUUUUAACGGUGGAAAGGAUUUCCUUACAGGGAAAUUGACAUGCAGUUUAGUGAUGUCAGCCAUUUUCUGUUUUGUUUUUUUUUGUUUUGUUUUUUUUUGUGUGUGUGUGUUUUGUAACGUUACACAUCUUGUUUGAAGGUUAACUAUGCCAAAAACCGGCAAGGGCCAUGAUGCUGCUGUGAGCUGUGUUUACAUGCUGACGGCUUCGCUACUUAAAACUAUUGAGCAAACUUUGUUAUAGCGUACUAAAGACAAAGUGCACAAGUGUGAUAAAGACAGCUUCAUAAAUGGAACUCAUCAUUCUGAGAAGUCGUCUAACUUGGCAGCCCAAGACUAAUUACACUAGCAAGGGCUCUUUUUUCUUUUUGGAGAGCAUAUGGAUUUAAUUGGUUUGGCAAGACACAUGGGAGGCAAGCAAUUUAUUAGCUGUUAACACAUGAAAUGAUGCAGAUCUUGCUCUCUGAGCGUACAAACCAUAAUUGCUAGCUGAGAAGUAUGUUUGCAUUGUCAUUAAAAGAGAGAAAAAGUGAAAAUAAAGACUAUUAGAACGUUAUUUAAGAAAAAAACACAGGCCAAGGCCUGAGUGUAUUGCUGCCGAAUGGUAUGGAAACCAGUUUGAUCCUUUUACACCACUGAAAAAUGACUGCAGUUAAAUUGGUCUUCAUUCAGUUAAACUGACCCUGGGGUAGUGAAAGGGAGAAAGAUCUCAUUUCACAAGUCAAAGCUGUCAUCACAUUGUGACGGAAAGUUGACAUGGGAGAAUUGAAUUGAAGUCACGUAAUUUGCUGGGUAAUCCCAAAACUAGUUGGAGUCACCUUUAAGAUGAUACCAUGAGAACAUUACUGAGCAAGGAGUGAUGAAUCCAAAGUGGUGGAUUGAGAAAUUAUAAGCCUGGCUUGAAAUGUUUUGGAGUUUAACCUGGCAGGGUUUGUGUAAUUUCAACAUUUCUCCAUUUUCUCUGUUAUAAGUCUUAAAACCACAGGAAUUGCCUGUGGGGAUCUGCCAAGAACCAGUUCCUUAUUUAUGCAGGAGUGGGAAUUACACGCACGCACGCACGCACACACACACACACACACACACAGACACACACACAC